Molecule: ribosomal RNA, 465 nt
Filed under: uncultured bacterium
Lineage: Bacteria
Description: partial 16S ribosomal RNA
Rfam family: Bacterial small subunit ribosomal RNA
Source: RNAcentral
CCUACGGGUGGCAGCAGUGGGGAAUAUUGCGCAAUGGGCGAAAGCCUGACGCAGCGACGCCGCGUGAGGGAUGAAGGUCUUCGGAUCGUAAACCUCUGUCAGCAGGGAAGAACGGUCACUGUGCUAAUCAGCAGUGAAUUGACGGUACCUGCAAAGGAAGCACCGGCUAACUCCGUGCCAGCAGCCGCGGGAAUACGGAGGGUGCGAGCGUUAAUCGGAAUUACUGGGCGUAAAGCGGUCGUAGGCGGGAUGUCAAGUCAAGGGUGAAAUCCCCGCGCUCAACGUGGUAACUGCCUUUGAAACUGGCAAACUGGAGUGUGUGAGAGGAUAGUGGAAUUCCAGGUGUAGGAGUGAAAUGCGUAGAUAUCUGGAGGAACAUCAGUGGCGAAGGCGACUAUCUGGCACAUAACUGACGCUGAGGAGCGAAAGCGUGGGUAGCAAACAGGAUUAGAUACCCGAGUAGUC